UCAAUGAUUAAAGACCUAUU
RNAcentral lists this microRNA (20 nucleotides) under Ciona intestinalis (vase tunicate). RNAcentral's name for it is "cin-miR-4042-5p". Lineage: Eukaryota; Metazoa; Chordata; Ascidiacea; Phlebobranchia; Cionidae. The record is from miRBase by way of RNAcentral.